This 497-nucleotide ribosomal RNA is filed under the name uncultured bacterium. Its description in RNAcentral is "partial 16S ribosomal RNA". It matches the Rfam family "Bacterial small subunit ribosomal RNA", at positions 28 to 507 of the family's 1533-position model. The record is from RNAcentral.
GACGAACGCUGGCGGCGUGCCUAAUACAUGCAAGUUGAGCGCUGAAGGUUGGUACUUGUACCAACUGGAUGAGCAGCGAACGGGUGAGUAACGCGUGGGGAAUCUGCCUUUGAGCGGGGGACAACAUUUGGAAACGAAUGCUAAUACCGCAUAAAAACUUUAAACACAAGUUUUAAGUUUGAAAGAUGCAAUUGCAUCACUCAAAGAUGAUCCCGCGUUGUAUUAGCUAGUUGGUGAGGUAAAGGCUCACCAAGGCGAUGAUACAUAGCCGACCUGAGAGGGUGAUCGGCCACAUUGGGACUGAGACAAGGCCCAAACUCCUACGGGAGGCAGCAGGAGGGAAUCUUCGGCAAUGGACGAAAGGCUGACCGAGCAACGCCGCGUGAGUGAAGAAGGUUUUCGGAUCGUAAAACUCGGUUGGUAGAGAAGAACGUUGGUGAGAGUGGAAAGCUCAUCAAGUGACGGUAACUACACAGAAAGGGACGGCUAACUACGUG